Molecule: ribosomal RNA, 252 nt
Filed under: uncultured bacterium
Lineage: Bacteria
Description: partial 16S ribosomal RNA
Rfam family: Bacterial small subunit ribosomal RNA
Source: RNAcentral
UACGUAGGUCCCGAGCGUUGUCCGGAUUUAUUGGGCGUAAAGCGAGCGCAGGUGGUUUAUUAAGUCUGGUGUAAAAGGCAGUGGCUCAACCAUUGUAUGCAUUGGAAACUGGUAGACUUGAGUGCAGGAGAGGAGAGUGGAAUUCCAUGUGUAGCGGUGAAAUGCGUAGAUAUAUGGAGGAACACCGGUGGCGAAGGCGGCUUACUGGACUGUAACUGACGUUGAGGCUCGAAAGCGUGGGGAGCAAACAGG